GACGAACGCUGGCGGCGUGCUUAACACAUGCAAGUCGAACGGAAAGGCCCUGCUUUUGUGGGGUGCUCGAGUGGCGAACGGGUGAGUAACACGUGAGUAACCUGCCCUUGACUUUGGGAUAACUUCAGGAAACUGGGGCUAAUACCGGAUAGGAGCUCCUGCUGCAUGGUGGGGGUUGGAAAGUUUCGGCGGUUGGGGAUGGACUCGCGGCUUAUCAGCUUGUUGGUGGGGUAGUGGCUUACCAAGGCUUUGACGGGUAGCCGGCCUGAGAGGGUGACCGGACACAUUGGGACUGAGAUACGGCCCAGACUCCUACGGGAGGCAGCAGUGGGGAAUAUUGCACAAUGGGCGGAAGCCUGAUGCAGCAACGCCGCGUGCGGGAUAACGGCCUUCGGGUUGUAAACCGCUUUCGCCUGUGACGAAGCGUGAGUGACGGUAAUGGGUAAAGAAGCACCGGCUAACUACGUG
RNAcentral lists this ribosomal RNA (468 nucleotides) under uncultured bacterium. RNAcentral's name for it is "partial 16S ribosomal RNA". It matches the Rfam family "Bacterial small subunit ribosomal RNA", at positions 28 to 507 of the family's 1533-position model. The record is from RNAcentral.